UUGGGAGCCGGCAGAUGGUUUAGGCUGAGAAAGGCUGCGAUCAGCAUUGUUUUCAGCGAUGGCUCAGGUGGUGGCACGCUCGGGAGGCUGGGAGGUGGCUGGGGAACAGGAGGAGGAGGGGCCAGCUGGAGACGCCCGCAUCCUGCCGUGGCCGAGGCCAGGCUAGGAAGGUGGCCCAGGUUAAGACAGUGAGGAUGGAGCAAACAAACCACCCACUGUGUGGCUCAGGCUUGUUUUAAACAUCACGGAGCCCUGAGCAGAAGGGAAGGCCCAGGGCCAUGCUGGGAAGCCGGCGAGAAGCUCCGAGGGCAGCCACAAGAGGUCUGAAGCUUGCUACGACAAGUAAAGAUCAAAUCAGAAGCUGAACGCCCUGAGGCUUUGAAAGAUAGAGAGUGAUUUGUGGCCCCUCCAGUGAAAAGGCUGCUGCCAUUGUUAACAACCUCUGUUCCCGCUUUCUCCGCCAUGCUGGGUGCCGGAGCGCACUGUGUUCCAAGAAGUGAUGCCCGACCAUCUCCAGAGCAGCGUGGACUCCAGGGCGGGCAACGGGCCUCUGCCACAUCACCUGCAGAGCCGACGGGAGGAAACGGCUCCGAGGCCCAGGGCAGGUAGACUCGGGCAGCCUGGGCCUGGGGUCUGGAAGACUCGGCCUCCAGGACGUGAUUCGUUGCUCUGGCCGCGGCUUCCGGCUGCUCCCGGUGCCCCCAGUUUGGCCUCACCCUCUGCUCCUGGGCCCCAGGCCCUCCCACUCUCACUGGCCCGUCCUCGGAGGGGCCAGAAGGGCCUGCCGCCCUCUCGGCCAGGGAUGGCUGAGCGCAGGCCUUCGUAGCCCUCUGGCAGGCCUGCACAUUGAAUGCACUCACAUCCCAAAGAGAAUCGAAUUUCUUUACCAUUCCUUGUAAUUUCCUGGUAAUCACAUCACACGGGGGAACUUCCAGGAAGUGGACGACUAAGAUAAACAUGGUUUCCAAAUGUUGUAAACACAAUGUUGUAAAAGAUGCAACGAUGAUAGGGACGUAACAGCGUGUUCUGCCCUGUGCACGGUCACUUGACGGACAGACACCCGGCAGUGACCCGGACACACAGUGGUCACGGACAAAUCUCACAGACACGAGCUCAGGAAGCCAGACACAAAACAGACGCACU
This 1143-nucleotide long non-coding RNA is filed under the name Equus asinus (donkey). RNAcentral describes it as "lncRNA (ENSEASG00005026666.1)". The record is from RNAcentral. Lineage: Eukaryota; Metazoa; Chordata; Mammalia; Perissodactyla; Equidae.